This is a long non-coding RNA of Ictalurus punctatus (channel catfish), 449 nucleotides long. The record is from Ensembl. Lineage: Eukaryota; Metazoa; Chordata; Actinopteri; Siluriformes; Ictaluridae.
GGACUGCUUUAACCUUGUCAGGGUUGUGGUGGAUCCAUAGCCUAUCCUGGGAACACCUAUCCUGAGUAUGAGGCAGGAAUAAACCAAGGAUCAGACACGACACCAAGAAAACUGGAAAACCCAGAGGAAACCCAUGCAGGCAUGAAGAGAACACAUGAAACUAUAUACAGACAGGAAUCUGAGUUCAGGAUCAAAUCGGGGACAUUGAAGCUGUGAAGUGAGCAAGCACAAGAGCAAAAAGAGCAAGUGAUACUGAAAGGACUCACUGCAUUAUUCUUGUUAAAGUUCAGCUGUCAUGCUCCAUCAAAACAGCCAUUUUUGAUAAUUGACUACUUUAUCACAUGGAUUCAACAGAAAAUACUCAACACCUAAUGCUGUCACUCCUGAUCACCUUCUUCACCAGCUAAUUAAACAACAACAACAACAGCAGCAAAAGGUAAUUGGCUCCC